Long non-coding RNA from Amphimedon queenslandica, 238 nucleotides. RefSeq lists it as uncharacterized. The record is from RefSeq and is a predicted model, not a curated record. The transcript has 4 exons. Lineage: Eukaryota; Metazoa; Porifera; Demospongiae; Haplosclerida; Niphatidae.
AGAAGACACAAGUAGAGGAGAAGGAACAGAUUAUUACUGAAGAUUAUGAGAAACUUAAACUCAAAGUUGCUGAACUAUUGGAGGAGAAAGAGGAACAAUAUCUCAAGGAGAAACAGAUCAUUAUUGAUGACAAUCAAAAUCUCAUUUCUGAAAAAGACAAAGUUAUAGCCAAACUGACAUCGAAUGAGAAACAGAUCAUUACUGACCUUAAAGAAAAGGAGUUGUACAUAGCCAAACU